Molecule: transfer RNA, 95 nt
Filed under: Actinomycetes bacterium
Lineage: Bacteria; Bacillati; Actinomycetota; Actinomycetes
Description: Actinobacteria bacterium tRNA-Ser
Rfam family: tRNA
About the family: Transfer RNA (tRNA) molecules are approximately 80 nucleotides in length. Their secondary structure includes four short double-helical elements and three loops (D, anti-codon, and T loops).
Source: RNAcentral
GGAGAGAUGGCCGAGUCCGGUUGAAGGCGCACGCCUGGAGAGCGUGUAUGCCACUUGAAGUGGCAUCGAGGGUUCGAAUCCCUCUCUCUCCGCCA